AGAGUGUUAAAUUACGCGAUCUUUUAACCGAAACCUCGUUUAAGAAAUCGUUAGAUCGAUUAAAAUUCCGAGGAGCUACAUUGGUAGUAAAUUUUACUACAAACUCUCUUAGUCUGUUAUCGUCUGAAUAGAGCGAGAUCAUUAAGAGCGUUAAUUUAAGAGGACGAAGAGCAACAAGAAUCGACGAUUUCUCAAACUAAUCCGGUAGUAGCUGGAUUGAUUAAUGGAACGACUGACGAUCCUUUUCAUCGAAACGGAUCCAUGGCAAUAGGAUUUUACAGGGGAAUACCGCUAUUGUUAGAGUGGCACGUGUAUGUACAUAGGGUAUUCCAAUCAUCCGCCGCAGUGAUCGGAAGAGAGCAGUAGACGUAAAUAAUGGUGUGCGAAAUUUUACGUUCGCACCAGAAAUAGAAUGUUUCUUGCCAACACCAGACGGAUCCGGCGAACAGGAACGUGUCUCGAUACGCCGAGAAAAGAAUAUUCCUCGAUGAGGAAAAGAUCGAGUCAUUGGGAAUAUCAUUUUAUUCGUCAUACCCCAAAUAUAAUUGAUUUUACUUUGAAAAA
Bombus pascuorum is the source of this 564-nucleotide long non-coding RNA. RefSeq lists it as uncharacterized. The record is from RefSeq and is a predicted model, not a curated record. The transcript has 2 exons. NCBI's taxonomy places the organism in Eukaryota, Metazoa, Arthropoda, Insecta, Hymenoptera, Apidae.